Molecule: ribosomal RNA, 207 nt
Filed under: uncultured bacterium
Lineage: Bacteria
Description: partial 16S ribosomal RNA
Rfam family: Bacterial small subunit ribosomal RNA
Source: RNAcentral
CAUGUAGGCGGAUUGAUAAGUUUGAAGUAAAAUCCUAUAGCUUAACUAUAGAACUGCUUUGAAAACUGUUAAUCUAGAAUGUGGGAGAGGUAGAUGGAAUUUCUGGUGUAGGGGUAAAAUCCGUAGAGAUCAGAAGGAAUACCGAUUGCGAAGGCGAUCUACUGGAACAUUAUUGACGCUGAGAUGCGAAAGCGUGGGGAGCAAACA